RNAcentral lists this long non-coding RNA (1413 nucleotides) under Volvox carteri. Its description in RNAcentral is "long non-coding RNA (VCAR_LNC001410)". Lineage: Eukaryota; Viridiplantae; Chlorophyta; Chlorophyceae; Chlamydomonadales; Volvocaceae. The record is from RNAcentral.
GCUGACGCACGAUCCAGUUAAGCACAAGCUGGAUAAGCGAGCUGACACUAUGCCCUAAACUAGAAGGACACUCCAAAGUCCCAGUGAGCAAUAGUUGUUAAAUCAGCUUGAUAAAGAAGUCUUGCCUCAGGGUACAAAUAGUACCAAUAGAUCAAGCUCGUACGAUAAGUCCCAACUAGCAAUCACACCAAUCGUAGUACAAAGCUUAUCAUGACGACAAGCUAUAAAAGCAACAACCAUAAGUCUAGGAAGUCUGACCGGAAUUACACUCCCCCGCGAGUUUUUAUGUGCCUAACUUCAAGCACAACUUGAUUUCUGUUUCGGUCCUAACUAACAAGGGCUUUAGGGUUAGUUUUGAGGAUACACAGGCGAUUAUAGAGGGGAGGCCUGCAUAUCUCUGCCACCAAAUGUGCGUCUGGCCUUUACAAAUUCAUGAGUAGUGCUGUACCCGCUGUCGAGUCCUCCAUGUUGUAAUUCCGGUCAGACUUCUUAGGAUUAUGGUUGUUGUCUUUUAUAGCUCGUCGUCGCGAUAAGCUUUGUACUACGAUUGGUGUGAUUGCUAGUUGGGUCUUAUCAUACGAACGUGAUCUAUUGGUACUAUUUGUACCCUGAGGCAAGACUUCAUUAUCAAGCUGAUUGUAACAACUGUUGCUCACUGGGACUUUGGAGUGUCCUUCGAGUUAGGGCAUAGUGUCAGCUCGCUUAUCCAGCUUGUGCUUAACUGGAUCUUGUGUCAGCUAUUUCUGGCUAUUUACGAAUAGUCACAACAGGUUAUGAGCCCCGCUUGACGUUGCGGUGGCUGCAGUGAUCGUACGCUUUGUUGAGCUCGUACCUUCAAAUUCCAAUUUUGAGUCAUACGUGAUUCUGAGAGAAUGUCCGACAUUGCUGGUUGGAGAGAUGUGCUGAUGGUCGCCAACUCGGCCGACUGGUUCAUCAAGAUGAAGGCCAUCUUGGAGUGUGAGGACCUGGCGUCAGUCGUCACCCAGGACUACAAUCUACCCGCCGAUCCUACGGAGCAGGAGAAGGAGAUGAGAAAGAUAAGGAAGGCUCGGGCGCUAAUAAUCCUUUGGCUUGCAUCCGUCGACCAUAAGAUUCUUAUCGAGUCAACCACCGAAGCUAAGGAUCUCUGGGCGGGCCUUGAGCAGUGGGCCGGGCAAUUAAAUGAGGCUGAGUUGAGCGCGGUAUCACAAUCUUUCCACUCCAUCAUGAUGCACCAUGACGAAAGGGUGCACGACUAUGUGACCCGCGCGGUCAAUAUGUACGAGAAGCUAAAUAGAUAUAAAGAUUUCCGCAUUUCGGAGAAAAAUGUGAUUGUGCUAGUUGUUCGUGGCCUGCCUGAUGCCUUGUAUAAAUCAGAGAAGAGAGUUUUUGUCACGUCCGCCUACCCGAAGAACUUCCUGGAGCUGAAGGAGA